This 1244-nucleotide ribosomal RNA is filed under the name metagenome. RNAcentral describes it as "bacterial LSU rRNA". It matches the Rfam family "Bacterial large subunit ribosomal RNA", at positions 1564 to 2818 of the family's 2925-position model. The record is from RNAcentral.
UGAGUACGAGAUGCUACGGCAUCGAAGCAGUCUAUGUCAUACUUCCAAGAAAAGCUUGCACUGUCAUAAACAAAGAAUGCCUGUACCAUAACCGACACAGGUGGGUAGGUAGAGUAUAUUAAGGGGCGCGAGAUAACUCUCUCUAAGGAACUCGGCAAAUGACUCCGUAACUUCGGGAGAAGGAGUGCCUUAUUUCUAAGGUUGCAAUAACAAGAUCCAAGCAACUGUUUACCAAAACCACAGGUCUCCGCUAAGUCGUAAGACGAUGUAUGGGGGCUGACGCCUGCCCAGUGCCAGAAGGUUAAAGAAGUUGGUUAGCAUUAGCGAAGCUGAUAACUGAAGCCCUGGUGAACGGCGGCCGUAACAAUAACGGUCCUAAGGUAGCGAAAUUCCUUGUCGGGUAAGUUCCGACCCGCACGAAAGGCGUAAUGAUUUGGAUACUGUCUCGGAGAGGGGCUCGGUGAAAUAGACUUGUCUGUGAAGAUGCGGACUACCUGCACCUGGACAGAAAGACCCUAUGAAGCUUUACUGUAACUUGAGAUUGAAAUUGGACUUUAUUUGCGCAGUAUAGGUGGGAGGCGUUGAGAAUAAUCUUGCGGGAUUGUUGGAGCCAUCAGUGAGAUACCACUCUUGUAAUGUUAGAUUUCUAACUUUGUAUCAUUAUCUGGUCAAAGAACAGUUUCAGGCGGGCAGUUUGACUGGGGCGGUCGCCUCCCAAAGGGUAACGGAGGCGCACAAAGGUUUCCUCUGAACGGGUAGAAAUCGUAUCUAGAGUGUAAAGGCAUAAGGAAGCUUGACUGUGAGACCUACAAGUCGAGCAGGGACGAAAGUCGGUCUUAGUGAUCUGACGGUGCAGAGUGGAAAGGCCGUCACUCAACGGAUAAAAGUUACUCUAAGGAUAACAGGCUGAUCUCCCCCAAGAGUUCACAUCGACGGGGAGGUUUGGCACCUCGAUGUCGGCUCAUCGCAUCCUGGGGCGGUAGUCCGUCCCAAGGGUUGGGCUGUUCGCCCAUGAAAGCGGUACGCGAGCUGGGUUCAGAACGUCGUGAGACAGUUCGGUCCAUAUCCGGUGUAGGCGUUAGAAUAUUGAGAGGAGCCUUCUCUAGUACGAGAGGACCGAGAAGGACAUACCUCUGGUGUACCAGUUAUCGUGCCAACGGUAAACGCUGGGUAGCUAUGUAUGGAGUGGAUAACCGCUGAAAGCAUCUAAGUGGGAAGCCCACCUCAAGAUAAGUAUUCUCAUC